AUACGUAGGUGACAAGCGUUAUCCGGAUUUACUGGGUGUAAAGGGCGUGUAGGCGGUUUAGCAAGUCAGAAGUGAAAUUCCCGGGCUUAACUUGGGCGCUGCUUCCGAAACUGCUUUACUUGAGUGCUGGAGAGGAUAGUGGAAUUCCUAGUGUAGCGGUAAAAUGCGCAGAUAUUAGGAGGAACACCGGUGGCGAAGGCGGCUAUCUGGACAGUAACUGACGCUGAGGCGCGAAAGCGCGGGGAGCAAACAGGAUUAGAUUCCCUGGUAGUCCGUGCCGUAAACGAUGAAUACUAGGUGUAGGGGGUAUCGACUCCCUCUGUGCCGCAGUUAACACAUUAAGUAUUCCGCCUGGGGAGUACGGCCGCAAGGUUGAAACUCAAAGGAAUUGACGGGG
RNAcentral lists this ribosomal RNA (397 nucleotides) under uncultured bacterium. RNAcentral's name for it is "partial 16S ribosomal RNA". It matches the Rfam family "Bacterial small subunit ribosomal RNA", at positions 523 to 918 of the family's 1533-position model. The record is from RNAcentral.